RNAcentral lists this ribosomal RNA (450 nucleotides) under uncultured bacterium. RNAcentral's name for it is "partial 16S ribosomal RNA". It matches the Rfam family "Bacterial small subunit ribosomal RNA", at positions 354 to 796 of the family's 1533-position model. The record is from RNAcentral.
GUGGGGAAUCUUCCGCAAUGGACGAAAGUCUGACGGAGCAACGCCGCGUGAGUGAUGAAGGUCUUCGGAUUGUAAAACUCUGUUGUCAGGGACGAAUGUGCGAACGUUGAAUAAGCGUUUGUAUUGACGGUACCUGACGAGGAAGCCACGGCUAACUACGUGCCAGCAGCCGCGGUAAUACGUAGGUGGCAAGCGUUGUCCGGAAUUAUUGGGCGUAAAGAGCAUGUAGGCGGGCUUUUAAGUCCGACGUGAAAAUGCGGGGCUUAACCCCGUAUGGCGUUGGAUACUGGAAGUCUUGAGUGCAGGAGAGGAAAGGGGAAUUCCCAGUGUAGCGGUGAAAUGCGUAGAUAUUGGGAGGAACACCAGUGGCGAAGGCGCCUUUCUGGACUGUGUCUGACGCUGAGAUGCGAAAGCCAGGGUAGCGAACGGGAUUAGAAACCCCGGUAGUCC